GGUUUGAUUAUGGCUCAGAUUGAACGCUGGCUGGAUACUGCACAUGCAAGUGGGCAGCAACUGGACUCGGUCUGGUGGCGAGUGGCGAACGGGUGAGUAAUGUAUGGGUGUCGCCUGAAGUAGCGGGGGAUAACUUUUUGCAGCGUGAACUAAUGCAUCGCCCUUCGGGGAAAGCGGGGACCUUCGGGCCUCGCACUAUUAGAGCGGCCGAUAUCAGUUAUUUGAUUGGUGGAUGCUUGGCUCACCAAGGCGACGAUCGUGGUUUGAAGAGGAUAAUACACUGGAUGGACGCAGCCCAGACUCCUACGGGAGGCAGCAGUGAAAUUUUGGACAAUGGGGGAAACCCUGAUCCAGCCAUCCCGCGUGUGCGAUGAAGGCCUUCGGGUUGUAAGCACUUUUGGCAGGAAAGAAACGGCACGGGAUAAUACCCCGUGCAGCUGACAUUACCUGCAAAUGAGCUUUACCGGCUAACUACGUGCCAGCAGCCGCGGUAAUACGUGGUGCAAGCGUUAAUCGGAAUUACUGGGCGUAAAGCGUGCGCAGAGCGGUUCGGAAAAGAAAGAUGUGAAAUCCCAGAGCUUAACUGGAACUGCAUUUUUAACUACUAAACUAUAGUGUCAGGGAGUGCAGAUUCCUGUAGCCAGCAGUGAAAUGCGUAGAUAUGCGGAGGAACACCGAUGGCGAAAGCAGCUCUGGGCUCUUAUUUCUUACGACGUGGAAGCAAGCAAGUUAGAAUACCCUGGUAGUCCACGCCCUAAACGAUGUCAACUAGCUGUUGUUGAGGACUGGGCCUUGGUAGCGCAGCUAACGCGUGAAGUUGACCUGCAAGUACGGUCGCAAGAUUAAAACUCAAAGGAAUUGACGGGGAUUCCACACACAAGCGGUGGAUGAUGUGGAUUAAUUCGAUGCAACGCGAAAAACCUUACCUACGCCGGCAUGUCGCGGAAUCCCGAAGAGAUUUGGGAGUGCUCGCAAGAGAACCGGAACACAGGUGCUGCAUAGCCUCGUCAAUGGUGUCGUGAGAUGUUGGGUUAAGUCCCGCAGCGAGCGCAACCGCUCAUCAAUUCGUUGCUCACCCGAAAGGGCACUCUAAUGCUGCCGGUGACAAACCGGAGGAAGGUGAGGAUGACGUCAAGUCCUCAUAGCCCAUAUGGGUAGGGCUUCACACGUCAUACAAUGGUCGGGACAGGGGUCGCCAACCCGCGAGGGAGCCAAAUGCGAAGCCGAUCGUAGUCCGGAUCCAUGAUGCGGCUCCGACUGCGUGGAAGUCAGAAUCGCUAUUAAUCGCGGAUCAGCAUGUCGCGGUGAAUACCGUUCCCGGUCUGCAAACUCACGCAACAAUCUGCUGCUGGAUGGAUUUGCCAAAGUAGUUAACCCUAUUGCCGUAAGGAGGGCGAUUACCACGGUAGGAUUCAUGACUGGGGGCGGAAGUCGUAACAAGGU
RNAcentral lists this ribosomal RNA (1443 nucleotides) under uncultured Bordetella sp. RNAcentral describes it as "partial 16S-23S ribosomal RNA intergenic spacer". It matches the Rfam family "Bacterial small subunit ribosomal RNA". The record is from RNAcentral. Lineage: Bacteria; Pseudomonadati; Pseudomonadota; Betaproteobacteria; Burkholderiales; Alcaligenaceae.